Molecule: ribosomal RNA, 547 nt
Filed under: uncultured bacterium
Lineage: Bacteria
Description: partial 16S ribosomal RNA
Rfam family: Bacterial small subunit ribosomal RNA
Source: RNAcentral
UGGGAAUAUUGGACAAUGGGGGAACCCUGAUCCAGCCAUGCCGCGUGUGUGAAGAAGGCCUUAUGGUUGUAAAGCACUUUUAAGCGAGGAGGAGGCUACUUUAGUUAAUACCUAGAGAUAGUGGACGUUACUCGCAGAAUAAGCACCGGCUAACUCUGUGCCAGCAGCCGCGGUAAUACAGAGGGUGCGAGCGUUAAUCGGAUUACUGGGCGUAAAGCGUGCGUAGGCGGCUUAUUAAGUCGGAUGUGAAAUCCCCGAGCUUAACUUGGGAAUUGCAUUCGAUACUGGUGAGCUAGAGUAUGGGAGAGGAUGGUAGAAUUCCAGGUGUAGCGGUGAAAUGCGUAGAGAUCUGGAGGAAUACCGAUGGCGAAGGCAGCCAUCUGGCCUAAUACUGACGCUGAGGUACGAAAGCAUGGGGAGCAAACAGGAUUAGAUACCCUGGUAGUCCAUGCCGUAAACGAUGUCUACUAGCCGUUGGGGCCUUUGAGGCUUUAGUGGCGCAGCUAACGCGAUAAAUAGACCGCCUGGGGAGUACGGUCGCAAGACU